Molecule: long non-coding RNA, 950 nt
Organism: Macrobrachium nipponense
Lineage: Eukaryota; Metazoa; Arthropoda; Malacostraca; Decapoda; Palaemonidae
Exons: 6
Source: RefSeq, a predicted model, not a curated record
CCAUCAUUUAUCCGUUUAUGCCCCUGUUAAUACCACCACACAAGAAGCUACCACCGAUGAUCACACGAGUCUUACGUGAACCGGGUGUGUUUUGGGGGUCAUUACCGUCCUGCCAAAAAUGGCCAGGGGGAUCUGAUGCUAUGGGAGAGACACGGCAACAAGUACAGGUGCAUCACUAAGUUCUUGUCUGGUUCGCAAUUUCACCGGUUCAUGUUUCAGAGGGAAUGUAGGGGAAAAUGUAAGGGAAAACGGUUUUAGUGACGUGGCAACAAAGACUGGAAGUCUGGAACGCCCACAACAGAACUGCAGAGUCUCGCAAAGUCAGGCUGCACUCCUCCACCAAACCCUGUAAUCUUAUCUACUAAAAUUUAUAACAUCAGCGUCACGAUAAUUUCGGAGAACUCCUAAAAUAAGGGAAAAGGAGAGGUUAGGUAAAAGCUGAGGAACUUAUAAUAAUUAGCUAUUUUCAUGGUUUUACACGAAACACAAGAGUUCAGGUAAGAACCUAAGACCUUAAGCCAACACCUUAACAUAAAGAAAACCUUCAACAGGCCUUCAGACUGCACUCUUCUACAAAACACUGUGGGUACUAAUCUUACUAUAUACAUUGAAAUUUGUAACAUCAGCAUCUGGGAAACUUGUUAAACUUCUAAAAUAAAGGUAGUACUUCAUAAACAGUGCUUACAGUUCACGUUAUAGAGCAAAGGAAACUUACUUGAUUACAAACCAAGAGCAGCAUGUACUUCAAGUUACUAGAGGUGGGAUGUCGACAACAGGGAUAUAAGAACAAAUAGGCAACGUUAGGUGUUUCUAAAGGAGAGAUAAGUUUAAAAGGAGCACCAUUGAAACACUUGAGAGAGAAACAGAAUAUUAAGUAAGGAAAAUAAGCUGUUUUUGAAAGUGAGAGAACUAUAAAAAACACAAGCUAUAUCUGAUUGGGAGAAGAUGUA